AGGUAUGCGUAAUAAUAGCUGAGGUAUGCGUAAUAAUAGCUGAGGUAUGCGUAAUAAUAGCUGAGGUAUGCGUAAUAAUAGCUGAGGUAUGCGUAAUAAUAGCUGAGGUAUGCGUAAUAAUAGCUGAGGUAUGCGUAAUAAUAGCUGAGGUAUGCGUAAUAAUAGCUGAGGUAUGCGUAAUAAUAGCUGAGGUAGGCGUAAUAAUAGCUGAGGUAGGCGUAAUAAUAGCUGAGGUAGGCGUAAUAAUAGCUGAGGUAGGCGUAAUAAUAGCUGAGGUAGGCGCAAUAAUAGCUGAGGUAUGCGUAAUAAUAGCUGAGGUAUGCGUAAUAAUAGCUGAGGUAUGCGUAAUAAUAGCUGAGGUAUGCUUAAUAAUAGCUGAGGUAUGCUUAAUAAUAGCUGAGGUAUGCUUAAUAAUAGCUGAGGUAUGCGUAAUAAUAGCUGAGGUAUGCGUAAUAAUAGCUGAGGUAUGCGUAAUAAUAGCUGAGGUAUGUGUGUGGUUUGCUCAGUAGGUAGGUACUGUACAUUGGGUUGGAUUCUCUGGGAAUUUCAGAUGACCUGACUCUGUCCGUAGACAGGUGAUUGCCAUCUGCUCUGUGUGUGGGUAUGCAUGGAGAGAUGGGGGUGUGGAGGCAUCACACAUGUAUGAAUGCUUGCACCAAGGCGACACACACUUGGCAGAUACACACACCGAAGUACAAGCACACAAACACUCUGCAGUUACACACAUGCACACCAAAGCAGACUCUCUAUCUCUCUCUCUCUCUCUCUCACACACACACACACACACACACACACACACACACACACACACACACACACACACACACACACACACACACACACACACACACACACACACACACACACACACACACACACACACACACACAGAGAGAGAAACAAACUCACACAAACACCUAAGCGUGAAGACAGACACUUUUGCAGG
Long non-coding RNA from Oncorhynchus gorbuscha (pink salmon), 946 nucleotides. RefSeq lists it as uncharacterized. NCBI's taxonomy places the organism in Eukaryota, Metazoa, Chordata, Actinopteri, Salmoniformes, Salmonidae. The record is from RefSeq and is a predicted model, not a curated record. The transcript is spliced from 3 exons.